AAAUUGAAGAGUUUGAUCAUGGCUCAGAUUGAACGCUGGCGGCAGGCCUAACACAUGCAAGUCGAACGGUAACAGGAAGCAGCUUGCUGCUUUGCUGACGAGUGGCGGACGGGUGAGUAAUGUCUGGGAAACUGCCUGAUGGAGGGGGAUAACUACUGGAAACGGUGGCUAAUACCGCAUAACGUCGCAAGACCAAAGAGGGGGACCUUCGGGCCUCUUGCCAUCAGAUGUGCCCAGAUGGGAUUAGCUAGUUGGUGAGGUAACGGCUCACCAAGGCGACGAUCCCUAGCUGGUCUGAGAGGAUGACCAGCCACACUGGAACUGAGACACGGUCCAGACUCCUACGGGAGGCAGCAGUGGGGAAUAUUGCACAAUGGGCGCAAGCCUGAUGCAGCCAUGCCGCGUGUAUGAAGAAGGCCUUCGGGUUGUAAAAGUACUUUCAGCGGGGAGGAAGGUGUUGUGGUUAAUAACCGCAGCAAUUGACGUUACCCGCAGAAGAAGCACCGGCUAACUCCGUGCCAGCAGCCGCGGUAAUACGGAGGGUGCAAGCGUUAAUCGGAAUUACUGGGCGUAAAGCGCACGCAGGCGGUCUGUCAAGUCGGAUGUGAAAUCCCCGGGCUCAACCUGGGAACUGCAUUCGAAACUGGCAGGCUUGAGUCUUGUAGAGGGGGGUAGAAUUCCAGGUGUAGCGGUGAAAUGCGUAGAGAUCUGGAGGAAUACCGGUGGCGAAGGCGGCCCCCUGGACAAAGACUGACGCUCAGGUGCGAAAGCGUGGGGAGCAAACAGGAUUAGAUACCCUGGUAGUCCACGCCGUAAACGAUGUCUACUUGGAGGUUGUGCCCUUGAGGCGUGGCUUCCGGAGCUAACGCGUUAAGUAGACCGCCUGGGGAGUACGGCCGCAAGGUUAAAACUCAAAUGAAUUGACGGGGGCCCGCACAAGCGGUGGAGCAUGUGGUUUAAUUCGAUGCAACGCGAAGAACCUUACCUGGUCUUGACAUCCACGGAAGUUUUCAGAGAUGAGAAUGUGCCUUCGGGAACCGUGAGACAGGUGCUGCAUGGCUGUCGUCAGCUCGUGUUGUGAAAUGUUGGGUUAAGUCCCGCAACGAGCGCAACCCUUAUCCUUUGUUGCCAGCGAUUAGGUCGGGAACUCAAAGGAGACUGCCAGUGAUAAACUGGAGGAAGGUGGGGAUGACGUCAAGUCAUCAUGGCCCUUACGACCAGGGCUACACACGUGCUACAAUGGCGCAUACAAAGAGAAGCGACCUCGCGAGAGCAAGCGGACCUCAUAAAGUGCGUCGUAGUCCGGAUUGGAGUCUGCAACUCGACUCCAUGAAGUCGGAAUCGCUAGUAAUCGUGGAUCAGAAUGCCACGGUGAAUACGUUCCCGGGCCUUGUACACACCGCCCGUCACACCAUGGGAGUGGGUUGCAAAAGAAGUAGGUAGCUUAACCUUCGGGAGGGCGCUUACCACUUUGUGAUUCAUGACUGGGGUGAAGUCGUAACAAGGUAACCGUAGGGGAACCUGCGGUUGGAUCACCUCCUUACCUUAAAGAAGC
This 1555-nucleotide ribosomal RNA is filed under the name Salmonella enterica subsp. enterica serovar Bareilly str. CFSAN000189. RNAcentral's name for it is "16S ribosomal RNA". It matches the Rfam family "Bacterial small subunit ribosomal RNA". The record is from RNAcentral. Lineage: Bacteria; Pseudomonadati; Pseudomonadota; Gammaproteobacteria; Enterobacterales; Enterobacteriaceae.